UUCAAAUAACAAUUGAAAAUCUAUCCUAUCUUCAACUUUGGCUUUCAAAUUCGUUCAAAUAACAACCGGAAUCCUGUCUUCAAUUUUGGCGUUCACACGAGGAAGAAUAAUUAGCCCCAAAUGAUGAAUCGGAAGAAGCAUACCACGGCAAGAAUUAACGCUUUGUUGAUGAAUCGGAAGAAGCAUACCACGACAAGAAUUAGCGCUUUAUUUGGAAUUUCAUCAACAAAAAGACUGUUGAGUCACGAAACAGAAGAAAGGGAAAAAUCUUUCUGUUGAGUCACGGAUUUAGUCGGUAAAUCAAAAAGACUGUUGUUCGGAAAAUCUUAUUUCAGGUAAGUUUUCCUUCAUCUGUUUAAUUAUGUUUUUAAUUGAUAAUGCAUUGAGAGAGCUUUUUGUCACAAGAGUUGGAUGAUAAUCCAGUUGUUCUAUCAUUCGUGCCACUGUGUUUUAGUUAUAGAUUCAAUCCCAAAUUAAGACUCCAAUAUUUCUUUCAGGAAGUCAUAAAUUAUCCAAAUCAAUCUCAUUUUUGAAUUAUUGCUUAUUUUUUUCGAGUAAAUAUGAUACAGUAAGUUCGACCAGACGAAGCUUGUAACACGAUGACAACCCUGUUUUUAAUCUGGUUCCUCUCUCUCAUGUGGCUAUGAUAUGAUACCCUUUUAGUUUUAUUGUGUUUGGUGUUGAACUGAUUGAUUUUAAUUUGUUUGGCUGAAUUUUAUUUUAAUUUUUUAAUUUGUCUGGCUGAAUUUUAAUGAUUUAUGUGGAUGUGUACCCACAUAUUCAGUGGGUUCACUUAUGAACUUAUGAGGGGAAGAAGUAAGUACCUCUUUUGAUUUGUACAAAAGAUAGGCGGUUGCAAAAUGCAAAACCCACUAGAAGAUUAACUUGAUUGAUUGCAAUCUUUUGGUAAAAUGUGUUUUUCUUCAAUACAAAAUUUUGGGGGACUUUUGAGUAUUUAAUCAUUGACCUAAACUUGGUUAUUAGCUGAACAGUAUAAAAAUUUACAGGAAUAAUUGAAUAACCUUUUCAAUAAAUUGUACAAUGUGAACUCUAUAUUUUCUGAAUUGCACUAUUUGUCAAUGACUCCCUUAUAUAACCCAGAACUGCUUUGCUUUCUUUCUUUUUUAUUCCUUCAAAAAAGAUUGCAGAGUGGGCUCAAAUCACUGUAUGAUCCGUGUACAGAAGUGCAUGUGAUAAGUUUUUUCUUCCAAAAAUGAGUAUGUGCAAAUAUUCAAGACCCUCCAUGGCAAAGAAGAAUAAUCAGAGCAUUCGAUCUGUAAGCACACCAUGGCAAAGAAGAAACAAACCCAAAGGAUAGAUUCAGAGCAUUCAAGAACAAAUUCUCAAACCUUCAAUCU
RNAcentral lists this long non-coding RNA (1358 nucleotides) under Panax ginseng (ginseng). RNAcentral's name for it is "long non-coding RNA (PGIN_LNC000502)". Lineage: Eukaryota; Viridiplantae; Streptophyta; Magnoliopsida; Apiales; Araliaceae. The record is from RNAcentral.